This is an RNA transcript of Populus nigra (black poplar), 3521 nucleotides long. It is a transcript of the gene named auxin response factor 2-like, with no coding region annotated. Lineage: Eukaryota; Viridiplantae; Streptophyta; Magnoliopsida; Malpighiales; Salicaceae. The record is from RefSeq and is a predicted model, not a curated record. The transcript has 15 exons.
AAACGCGGUCCCUAUGUCAACCAAUCAAAUAUGGCCACUAAAACGUAAUACACAACCCCGUUAACGAAAACCGUGGCUUCCCCAGUGAAUAAAAAGAAAAUGUCUCCGUUUGCCGGUUAAGCAGAGGACAAAACAGUGAAGAAGGGCACAGUAACCGGAGGUACCGGUAGCCUAGAAACGGACAAUAAUUCCACUAGCUUUGAAGUAAUUGCAGAAUCUGACUUCGCUGCAGGCACACAGAGUGAGAAAUUUCAUUUUUUUUUUAAAUAAAAUAAAAAUGUAGUGCCAUUUGUGAGGAGAGAGAGAGGGAGACAGAAACAGUGUACGAGUGGUAAUGGCAGCGACUAUUGCUGAGACAGUUGCUGAAGAGAGAGAAAGCGAAGCAGAGAAGCAAAGAAAGGACAGUCUCAUUAUUAGAUCAGAUUAUUUCUACUAUUUUUCUUCUCCGUAUGAAGCCAAACAGAUCUUUGAAGUCGUUGCUCUACUCUUGUUAUUGCUUCAAGAGAAGCAGAAGAUCAUUUCGAUUGCUAACGUUUCACUUUCUGUAGAAAAUCAUUCCCUGUAAUAAUUAAUCAUUUAAUCAGUUUCUAGUUCAUAAACAGUCGUUUAAUUGAGUACUCUUAUUAGUUUUGGAUUAUAAUAAUGAUUAACGGAAGUUAUUCUGUGGAUAAUAAACGUAAUGGACUUGCGAGAGGGAGUUCGACUUUUCCGGUGGCCGGUGAAGGAUCAGAGGAUGCACUGUACAAGGAACUGUGGCACGCAUGUGCAGGUCCGUUAGUGACAGUGCCUCGCCAAGGAGAGCUUGUUUACUACUUUCCUCAAGGUCAUAUUGAACAGGUUGAAGCAUCGACGAAUCAGGUUGCUGAUGAUCAGCAAAUGCCGGCUUAUAAUCUUCCUCCUAAAAUCCUCUGUCGUGUGGUUAAUGUUCAAUUGAAGGCUGAGGUGGAUACAGAUGAAGUGUUUGCUCAAGUCAUUCUGCUUCCUGUAGCUGAACAAGAUGUGGACUUGGUGGAGAAGGAGGAUUUGCCGCCUCCGCCUGCACGUCCUCGGGUGCAUUCCUUUUGUAAGAUGCUUACAGCAUCAGAUACGAGCACACAUGGUGGAUUUUCAGUGCUGAGACGGCAUGCUGAUGAAUGUCUACCUCCUUUGGACAUGUCCCUACAACCUCCAGCACAGGAGCUGGUAGCCAAAGAUUUGCAUGGAAAUGAGUGGCGUUUCCGCCACAUAUUUCGAGGUCAACCAAGAAGGCACCUUCUUCAAAGUGGUUGGAGUCUCUUUGUCAGUGCCAAAAAGCUUGUGGCGGGAGAUGCUUUUAUUUUUCUUAGGGGUGAAACUGAAGAGCUUCGUGUAGGGGUAAGACGUGCUCUGAGUCAGCCAAGCAAUGUCCCAUCUUCUGUAAUGUCUAGUCACAGCAUGCAUAUUGGCAUCCUUGCAACUGUGUGGCAUGCUGUUUCGACAGGAUCAAUGUUCACUGUUUAUUAUAAACCAAGGACUAGUCCUGCCGAGUUUAUUAUUCCAAUUGAUAAAUAUAGGGAGUCUGUCAAGAUAAACUAUGCUAUAGGGAUGAGGUUCAAAAUGAAAUUCGAAGCUGAAGAGGCCCCAGAACAAAGGUUCUCUGGCACUGUAAUUGGAGUAGAAGAGGCAGAUCCAAAGAAGUGGCCUCGCUCAAAGUGGAGAUGCCUCAAGGUUCGCUGGGAUGAAACUUCUCCUGUUCACCGUCCAGACAGGGUUUCUCCUUGGAAAAUAGAACGUGCUUUGGCUCCUUCUCUGGAUCCCGUUCUGGGGUGCCAAUCGAAAAGGCACUGUUCAAACAUGGCAACAUCAUCUGCAGAUUCCUCUGCUCCUACAAAGAAAGAUAAUGAGCCUUCAAGACACCUGCAACAUCAAGAAAUCUUGACCUUGAGAAACACACAUGCUGAGAAGAAUUACUCAGAUAGUAAGCACAAUCCUGCACAGGCUCUAUUUCAAGGUAAGGAUCAGACUGCUUUUGAUAAUAGAAAAUUUGGACCAGAUGACAAGAUUCCUCAAGUAAUGCAUGGAGCAAAACUCAUGAACCUAACAACAGGACCUGGAACCCUGCGUGAAUCCUAUGAAUCAACUCGCCCCUUCUUUGAGCUGAACUCUGAUGACGUUGAUCGACCCAGUAAACUUAAUGAAACAGGCAUGUUCAACUGCCAUUCAGCUCCCUUGAUGUAUUUAGGCCACCCAUUUAACAUGAUGGCAUCUAGGAUGGAAGUUCAUGUGGCAAAAGAUAAAGACAUACAACAGCAGCGUGGAAGCUGGUUUUCACCUUUGCCAUAUGCUGAUAAUUCUUCUCAUCCUUCGGGAUCUAAACCACAGCAUCUUCCUUUUCAACAACGUAACAAGGAAACAUCUAAAGAUGGUAAUUGCAAACUUUUCGGCUUCUCCCUUUUUGGGAAUCCUAUGGCUGCAGAACCAGCCAUUAUACACGGGCACUCCACAGAGAAACAACAGCAGCAAAUCAAUGUUGCAUCAGAUCACCUGAAAUUGUUGGGUUCUGAAGGAUUUUUGGAGCAAGCAAAGCAUCCAAAGCAUGUUAGACCUGAGGAACAAGGGAACAUUUUUCAAGCUUCUGCUCUUCAUUCUAAAAAUGUCCAGGGCAUGCCCGAGGGUGAUUCAACCAGAAGAUGUGUAAAGGUUUACAAGCAGGGGACUGCUGUGGGGAGGUAUCUGGACCUGGCAAAGUUUAAUGGUUAUAAUGAAUUGACAGCAGAACUGGAUCAGAUUUUUGAAUUUCAUGGUGAAUUAGUUGCCCCUAACAAAGAUUGGUUGAUUGUUUUUACUGAUGAUGAGGGUGAUAUGAUGCUUGUAGGAGAUGAUCCCUGGCAGGAAUUCUGUAGUCUGGUGCGCAGGAUCUUUGUCUUCACUAGAGAGGAGAUAAACAGGAUGGAGCCACGAUCCCUGAAUCUAGAAGCCGAGGGAAAUUCACAAACUGCAGACCAAAUGGUUGAUUUGAUGGAGGAUGGAACUUCAAAGCAUCUUCCAGCUUUGAGUCCCUAGGAGUUUUCAGGCUUGUGCUACACGACUGGCAGUAAGGUUAAGAGAUUCAUCUACGUGGACGCCCAGGCCAUAGUUUGAGAAACAUCAGAAAGCUAGGUCAGGAGGCUGAAAAGGUGACACAAACGAAGUUGUUGCAUUGUGGCCAAGAUGACAAUGUUGAGGCAGUUGUGAUGUCCUCUUCUAAGCUUUGUCAUCUUGUGCAGCGUGGCUUGUUUGGUAGAUAAGAGUUUUUGUCAUACAGCAUAUGUAACCUUCUAAUGUUUAUUUUUUACUUACUCUUGGGAGGAUUGGAAAAAUAGCAUCAGUUGUUUUUAUUAGCUUGGAAUGCUUAGACACACGGGCAGACCAGGGACCGCUUUCCAGUUCCACUCGACUCUUUCCUCUGUUAUUUAUGCCCGUGAAAAGAAAAUUGCUAGAGACAGCUCGUCUGCAACUCACAAAAUCUUUGAUUGAACACAUAUCAUGGUAAGUAACCCCAUCACUCUUUUUUUACCACCUUA